UACGUAGGUGGCAAGCGUUGUCCGGAAUUAUUGGGCGUAAAGCGCGCGCAGGCGGUCCUUUAAGUCUGAUGUGAAAGCCCACGGCUCAACCGUGGAGGGUCAUUGGAAACUGGGGGCCUUGAGUACAGAAGAGAAGAGUGGAAUUCCACGUGUAGCGGUGAAAUGCGUAGAGAUGUGGAGGAACACCAGUGGCGAAGGCGACUCUUUGGUCUGUAACUGACGCUGAGGCGCGAAAGCGUGGGGAGCAAACAGG
Molecule: ribosomal RNA, 253 nt
Filed under: uncultured bacterium
Lineage: Bacteria
Description: partial 16S ribosomal RNA
Rfam family: Bacterial small subunit ribosomal RNA
Source: RNAcentral